GAUGAACGCUAGCGGGAGGCCUAAUACAUGCAAGUCGAACGGUAACAGGUAGCAAUACGCUGACGAGUGGCGCACGGGUGCGUAACGCGUACACAAUCUGCCUUAUACUGGGGCAUAGCCUUUGGAAACGAAGAAUAAUUCCCCAUAACAUAUAGAAGAGGCAUCUCUUUUAUAUUAAAGCUCAGGCGGUAUAAGAUGAGUGUGCGUCCGAUUAGGUAGUUGGUGAGGUAACGGCUCACCAAGCCAACGAUCGGUAGCUGGUCUGAGAGGAUGAUCAGCCACACGGGCACUGAGACACGGGCCCGACUCCUACGGGAGGCAGCAGUAGGGAAUAUUGGACAAUGGGCGCAAGCCUGAUCCAGCCAUCCCGCGUGAAGGAUGAAGGUCCUCUGGAUUGUAAACUGCUUUUAUACAGGAAGAAACACUGGUUCGUGAACCAGCUUGACGGUACUGUAAGAAUAAGGAUCGGCUAACUCCGUGCCAG
Molecule: ribosomal RNA, 484 nt
Filed under: uncultured bacterium
Lineage: Bacteria
Description: bacterial SSU rRNA
Rfam family: Bacterial small subunit ribosomal RNA
Source: RNAcentral